AGGGGAAGAACAGAUUUCUGGCUUGAAUAAGGUUGCCUCACUGUCAGGAAGAAGUCAUCACAAAACAAGGGGAACUGUUGAACCAUCAUGAUGUUGAAGAUGCAGCUUCAUAUGAGGCCUACGAUUGACUCUACUGACUGGAGCAAGCCCAAGCUGGACAGGUUCGUAUGGGAUUUUUCAACCUGCAGUCUAAUGUAAUCAGAACUCUGACUACAUUGAUCAGAUUCAACCAAACUUGACAGCAGGGUGAGGAGCUAGAAGAUGAUUGCCUUCAAAUUUCAUGAAAGAAGGAUGAACAGAUGAUCUGUGCUGGCCUUAUAUGAAUCCAAAUGCUGUGGCUCCAAGCUACUACAAUUGAAGUUGCUCUUGACUUUCUGCCAGUUUCAGGUCUUUCGAGGAUUUAAUUUUGUACUGAAGAGAAGACAGGGUAAUGAUAAUCUGUCAUGCUUUAGGAUGGCUGCUGCUUUCAGGUAUGCUCAGAAAAGUUUCAGCCAUUUGAAUUGUGGUAGCUGUUUCCUUUGGUGCCAUAUAAUGAUGUGAACUCUUUGCCUGAAGAUACUGCCUUGGGUACCUCUCCGACAUGAGUUCAUAAUCAAGAUUCGGAUUCUUCUCUUCAAACGACCUAACAGAAACAAAUCCAAGAGGCACUUUUUUUGCUGUAGGAUCCAACUGUCAUGAUCUAUUGUGCAACUUUGUCAAAAACAUGGAAUCUCUUAACAGGACAGUGAAUGUGUUUUAGUGCUGACAUGGUUUUGGACGGCUGCAGAUAUCACUGCCUUCAGGAUAUAGUAUAAAACAUGCUUCUCUUCAUUUUUUUUCCAAGUCAUAGCAUAUAAUAAAGAGAAAUUCUA
This is a long non-coding RNA of Oxyura jamaicensis (ruddy duck), 851 nucleotides long. RefSeq lists it as uncharacterized. The record is from RefSeq and is a predicted model, not a curated record. Lineage: Eukaryota; Metazoa; Chordata; Aves; Anseriformes; Anatidae. The transcript has 4 exons.